AGCGAGAUAAGCUAACCACCUAAGCUGUUGGGCUCAUAACCCAAAAAUAGAUAUAUUCUUCCCGCUA
Molecule: transfer RNA, 67 nt
Filed under: Microcondylaea bonellii
Lineage: Eukaryota; Metazoa; Mollusca; Bivalvia; Unionida; Unionidae
Description: Unio bonellii tRNA-Met
Source: RNAcentral